This 497-nucleotide ribosomal RNA is filed under the name uncultured bacterium. Its description in RNAcentral is "partial 16S ribosomal RNA". It matches the Rfam family "Bacterial small subunit ribosomal RNA", at positions 28 to 507 of the family's 1533-position model. The record is from RNAcentral.
GACGAACGCUGGCGGCGUGCCUAAUACAUGCAAGUUGAGCGGUGAAGGCUGGUACUUGUGCCAACUGCGUGAGCCGCGAACGGGUGAGUAACGCGUGGGAAAUCUGCCUGUGAGCGGGGGAACACAUGGGGAAACGGAUGCUAAUACCGCAUAAAAACUUUAAACACAAGUGGUGAUGGUGAAAGAUGCCAUUGCAUCACGCAAAGAUGGUCCCGCGUUGUAUUAGCUAGGUGGUGCGGUAAAAGCUCACCAAGGCGAUGAUACAUAGACGACCUGAGAGGGUGGUCGGCCAGACUGGGACUGUGACAGGCCCCAAACGCCCACAGGAAGGAGCAGGAGGGAAUCUUGGGCCAUGGGCGGAAGAUUGAGCGCGCAAGGCGGAGUCCGUGAAGAGGGUCUUCGCAUCGUAAAACUCUGUUUGUAGGUAAGAACGCUCGUUCGAGUGUAAAGCACAGUGAGUGACGGUAACUACCCAGAAAGCGACGGCUAACUACGUG